UACGUAGGGCGCAAGCGUUGUCCGGAAUUAUUGGGCGUAAAGAGCUCGUAGGCGGCUUGUCACGUCGGGUGUGAAAGACCGGGGCUUAACUCCGGUUCUGCAUUCGAUACGGGCUAGCUAGAGUGUGGUAGGGGAGAUCGGAAUUCCUGGUGUAGCGGUGAAAUGCGCAGAUAUCAGGAGGAACACCGGUGGCGAAGGCGGAUCUCUGGGCCAUUACUGACGCUGAGGAGCGAAAGCGUGGGGAGCGAACAGG
RNAcentral lists this ribosomal RNA (253 nucleotides) under uncultured bacterium. Its description in RNAcentral is "partial 16S ribosomal RNA". It matches the Rfam family "Bacterial small subunit ribosomal RNA", at positions 524 to 776 of the family's 1533-position model. The record is from RNAcentral.